CACACGACUCUCGGCAACGGAUAUCUCGGCUCUCGCAUCGAUGAAGAACGUAGCAAAAUGCGAUACCUGGUGUGAAUUGCAGAAUCCCGCGAACCAUCGAGUUUUUGAACGCAAGUUGCGCCCGAGGCCUUCUGGUCGAGGGCACGUCUGCCUGGGCGUCACGC
Molecule: ribosomal RNA, 164 nt
Filed under: Bothriochloa ischaemum
Lineage: Eukaryota; Viridiplantae; Streptophyta; Magnoliopsida; Poales; Poaceae
Also listed under: 11 other names
Description: 5.8S ribosomal RNA
Rfam family: 5.8S ribosomal RNA
About the family: 5.8S ribosomal RNA (5.8S rRNA) is a component of the large subunit of the eukaryotic ribosome. It is transcribed by RNA polymerase I as part of the 45S precursor that also contains 18S and 28S rRNA.
Source: RNAcentral